RNAcentral lists this ribosomal RNA (442 nucleotides) under uncultured bacterium. RNAcentral describes it as "partial 16S ribosomal RNA". It matches the Rfam family "Bacterial small subunit ribosomal RNA", at positions 338 to 795 of the family's 1533-position model. The record is from RNAcentral.
CCUACGGGGGGCAGCAGUGGGGAAUCUUGGGCAAUGGGCGCAAGCCUGACCCAGCAACGCCGCGUGAAGGAAGAAGGCUUUCGGGUUGUAAACUUCUUUUGUCAGGGAAGAGUAGAAGACGGUACCUGACGAAUAAGCCACGGCUAACUACGUGCCAGCAGCCGCGGUAAUACGUAGGGGGCAAGCGUUGUCCGGAUUUACUGGGUGUAAAGGGCGUGUAGCCGGGUUGACAAGUCAGAUGGUAAAUCCUGCGGCUUAACCGCAGAACUGCAUUUGAAACUGUUGAUCUUGAGUACUGGAGAGGCGGACGGAAUUCCUAGUGUAGCGGUGAAAUGCGUAGAUAUUAGGAGGAACACCAGUGGCGAAGGCGGUCUGCUGGACAGCAACUGACGGUGAGGCGCGAAAGCGUGGGGAGCAAACAGGAUUAGAUACCCUUGUAGUC